This 253-nucleotide ribosomal RNA is filed under the name uncultured bacterium. RNAcentral describes it as "partial 16S ribosomal RNA". It matches the Rfam family "Bacterial small subunit ribosomal RNA", at positions 524 to 776 of the family's 1533-position model. The record is from RNAcentral.
UACGAAGGGGGCUAGCGUUGUUCGGAUUUACUGGGCGUAAAGCGCACGUAGGCGGACUAUUAAGUCAGGGGUGAAAUCCCAGGGCUCAACCCUGGAACUGCCUUUGAUACUGUCGAUCUGGAGUAUGGAAGAGGUGAGUGGAAUUCCGAGUGUAGAGGUGAAAUUCGUAGAUAUUCGGAGGAACACCAGUGGCGAAGGCGGCUCACUGGUCCAUUACUGACGCUGAGGUGCGAAAGCGUGGGGAGCAAACAGG